UAGGGAAUCUUCGGCAAUGGACGAAAGUCUGACCGAGCAACGCCGCGUGAGUGAAGAAGGUUUUCGGAUCGUAAAACUCUGUUGUUAGAGAAGAACAAGGACGUUAGUAACUGAACGUCCCCUGACGGUAUCUAACCAGAAAGCCACGGCUAACUACGUGCCAGCAGCCGCGGUAAUACGUAGGUGGCAAGCGUUGUCCGGAUUUAUUGGGCGUAAAGCGAGCGCAGGCGGUUUCGUAAGUCUGAUGUGAAAGCCCCCGGCUCAACCGGGGAGGGUCAUUGGAAACUGGAAGACUUGAGUGCAGAAGAGGAGAGUGGAAUUCCAUGUGUAGCGGUGAAAUGCGUAGAUAUAUGGAGGAACACCAGUGGCGAAGGCGGCUCUCUGGUCUGUAACUGACGCUGAGGAUCGAAAGCGUGGGGAGCAAACAGG
RNAcentral lists this ribosomal RNA (429 nucleotides) under Gemmatimonadota bacterium. RNAcentral describes it as "Gemmatimonadetes bacterium partial 16S ribosomal RNA". It matches the Rfam family "Bacterial small subunit ribosomal RNA", at positions 355 to 776 of the family's 1533-position model. Lineage: Bacteria; Pseudomonadati; Gemmatimonadota. The record is from RNAcentral.